RNAcentral lists this long non-coding RNA (707 nucleotides) under Mus pahari (shrew mouse). RNAcentral's name for it is "lncRNA (MGP_PahariEiJ_G0005438.1)". Lineage: Eukaryota; Metazoa; Chordata; Mammalia; Rodentia; Muridae. The record is from RNAcentral.
GGACAUCUGAUGUGAAAGCCAUGUGUGAAUUUUUAUAAGCUCUGGGGGAGCGAUGGCCAUUCUGAUGAGGGUGCUAAGCUUAGUUCAUCUGCCUCCUUGACUGGACCCUCCACGGAGCUGAGGGGCCCACGGGGCUGUGGAUGAGUUAUUGGCUGAAGAAAGGUCCUGAGAGAAUUCAGCUUGGCUUUCGAAAAGUUUUCCCCCUUCAUUGAGCUAUGCAGGAUCUGAUGAAAGCAAGAAGGGGACGUUACCUCAGGAAGACACAGGAGGCAUUGCCCCCUUGGGGAGUGGAGCUGUGAAGUGGAGAAGGGCUCUCUGUGUUUCAAAACCUUCCUGUUCUGAUUCCCUCACUGCAGGGCGGGGCAGACCCCUCCCUGGAUGCUUCCAGGUACACGUCCUCCCUCUUGGAGCUCUUGGAAGGACUGGGGACAGACGGGUUGGUUCCCCCUCACCACCUCUGAUAACUAUGGACAGAGGGCACUCUGCAGCAAAGAAGCCGUCAGUUUGGAAAGGGGGUGAAUUAAGGUCUCCUGUAGCCCAGGAUGGCCCUAUGUAGCCGAGGAUGUCCUUAACUCCACCAGGACCUCCUAUCAUCACCCCUCAAGCACUGGGAUUACAUGUGUGCAGGGGUCAUCGCCUUUAGCUCCGCUCCUAUGACAUACUUAUCAAACAAUGAGCUCUACAAUCCAUAAACAGAAACCAGAAGA